GCUAAUACCCGCAUACUGUGUGUAAGCACCGAUUGCAAUUAUAAGUUGCGCAUGUAGAUAUCGGUCUUCUCCCGACAUGCGCUCUGAUGACGGUUCCAUUUCCGCCAACUUAGGGUGAGAGUUAAGAGCCGGAGCCCUGUUGCCACCUGCAAAAUGCCUUAGCAACAUGUGGCAACUAUCUGCCCGAAGCAAGUUGCAAGCCAGCCCAGUUCAGGUUGCCACAUGCCAUGCUGGGUAUUCCCAGCGCGCUAGCGCACCUGCUUGGGCAGCUCGCUAUGGCUGCCGUCGACAGUUGACCCUGGUAUGCCAUCGCUAGAGUCGCAGCCCGCUCCGGCCAACCUCGCUCCUCCGCAACCGACACACGAACCCGACGUCUGACGUGGAAAUGGAUCUGGGGGACUGCGGGGUUUUGGGGUGUGUUGGGUUGGUGGCGUGAAGGGUGUGAUUUGUGAGGAAUUUAUCGAUGCAUGCCAAGUUGCACGCCUUUCCCCUGUGUUUCCUACAUGCCCCUGAACCCUCCCUUUGCUGGCUGCAGGCGAAGCGACAAGUGGUACCGCUGGUACCACCCACGGGGGCCUUGUGCCCAAGCCGUGGUGGCGCAUGGUAACUAUACACGUGGCGGUCAUCGACAUUGCUUUGUGCCGGCGCGCAGCACCCAGGAUGUGCGGCGAUCGCUGAAAUGCAGUUGUGGGGUCCACACUCAUAUGGCACCCACGCCCCACACAGCACUGAUGCAGGGCUCCUGCAGCCGUCACGCCAUGGGAAUCAGCAUAUGGGCAGUGGCCUGUGCAUACUUCUCUGUGGCCUGGCGGGGCAUCUGGCCAGGGCGUUUGACUAGCGGCAUGGGGCCUGCACGCCGGUAGGGGGGCGCAGGCCCAAAAUGAUGCAAGGAAGCUGAUGUGUUGCGUGAGGUGCGCAGCGGUUCCUGAUGGACGUGGGUGCUUUCAUGCGUAUGUAUAUUGGCUAUGUGUGUUGAUCUUUGCACCAGGGUGGUGUCGCCGCGCAGCGGAGCAUUGGUGUUGGUGCACGGGGCGUGAACAUUGGGGCCCGCAGUUGGGAUCGCGCCGGCACGGUCGCGGGCACCGCUGAAGAUAUGUUGGCGCGACCGGUCGCUUAUGGUGCACGCUAAUACCCGCAUACUGUGUGUAAGCACCGAUUGCAAUUAUAAGUUGCGCAUGUAGAUAUCGGUCUUCUCCCGACAUGCGCUCUGAUGACGGUUCCAUUUCCGCCAACUUAGGGUGAGAGUUAAGAGCCGGAGCCCUGUUGCCACCUGCAAAAUGCCUUAGCAACAUGUGGCAACUAUCUGCCCGAAGCAAGUUGCAAGCCAGCCCAGUUCAGGUUGCCACAUGCCAUGCUGGGUAUUCCCAGCGCGCUAGCGCACCUGCUUGGGCAGCUCGCUAUGGCUGCCGUCGACAGUUGACCCUGGUAUGCCAUCGCUAGAGUCGCAGCCCGCUCCGGCCAACCUCGCUCCUCCGCAACCGACACACGAACCCGACGUCAGACGUGGAAAUGGAUCUGGGGGACUGCGGGGUUUUGGGGUGUGUUGGGUUGGUGGCGUGAAGGGUGUGAUUUGUGAGGAAUUUAUCGAUGCAUGCCAAGUUGCACGCCUUUCCCCUGUGUUUCCUACAUGCCCCUGAACCCUCCCUUUGCUGGCUGCAGGCGAAGCGACAAGUGGUACCGCUGGUACCACCCACGGGGGCCUUGUGCCCAAGCCGUGGUGGCGCAUGGUAACUAUACACGUGGCGGUCAUCGACAUUGCUUUGUGCCGGCGCGCAGCACCCAGGAUGUGCGGCGAUCGCUGAAAUGCAGUUGUGGGGUCCACACUCAUAUGGCACCCACGCCCCACACAGCACUGAUGCAGGGCUCCUGCAGCCGUCACGCCAUGGGAAUCAGCAUAUGGGCAGUGGCCUGUGCAUACUUCUCUGUGGCCUGGCGGGGCAUCUGGCCAGGGCGUUUGACUAGCGGCAUGGGGCCUGCACGCCGGUAGGGGGGCGCAGGCCCAAAAUGAUGCAAGGAAGCUGAUGUGUUGCGUGAGGUGCGCAGCGGUUCCUGAUGGACGUGGGUGCUUUCAUGCGUAUGUAUAUUGGCUAUGUGCUUCCANNNNNNNNNNNNNNNNNNNNNNNNNNNNNNNNNNNNNNNNNNNNNNNNNNNNNNNNNNNNNNNNNNNNNNNNNNNNNNNNNNNNNNNNNNNNNNNNNNNNUGCCUUAGCAACAUGUGGCAACUAUCUGCCCGAAGCAAGUUGCAAGCCAGCCCAGUUCAGGUUGCCACAUGCCAUGCUGGGUAUUCCCAGCGCGCUAGCGCACCUGCUUGGGCAGCUCGCUAUGGCUGCCGUCGACAGUUGACCCUGGUAUGCCAUCGCUAGAGUCGCAGCCCGCUCCGGCCAACCUCGCUCCUCCGCAACCGACACACGAACCCGACGUCACUUGAUCCCACAAUUCCAGCGACUUUUGCGACCGGCUCUCCACCGACCGCUUGGAUGCUUGCGCCCGGUCGCUGCCCCAGCUACUUCCGCGGUGAAAUAACAACGGUGAGCAC
This 2535-nucleotide long non-coding RNA is filed under the name Chlamydomonas reinhardtii. Its description in RNAcentral is "long non-coding RNA (CREI_LNC001007)". Lineage: Eukaryota; Viridiplantae; Chlorophyta; Chlorophyceae; Chlamydomonadales; Chlamydomonadaceae. The record is from RNAcentral.